UGGUACAGGUAGAUCAAUGGAAUAG
RNAcentral lists this unclassified non-coding RNA (25 nucleotides) under Mus musculus (house mouse). RNAcentral describes it as "oocyte_clustered_small_RNA9010". Lineage: Eukaryota; Metazoa; Chordata; Mammalia; Rodentia; Muridae. The record is from RNAcentral.